Molecule: long non-coding RNA, 962 nt
Organism: Diceros bicornis minor
Lineage: Eukaryota; Metazoa; Chordata; Mammalia; Perissodactyla; Rhinocerotidae
Exons: 2
Source: RefSeq, a predicted model, not a curated record
UAUUGUUGUUUUCAUGGCAAUAUAGUUAUUUGCAUAAGUUCAAUAAGAAUCUGUUCUCCUUAUAACAGGACACAAUUGGAAACACUGCUUAUAUUACCAAGGCUGUGACUGGAACAUCAUAUUUGCGAUAUAACCAUACAGCUUUUGAGGAAUGAAGAUUGGACUUUAUGGAAUAAAGCCACGUGGAAAUAUUGGCCUGGUACCUUAUGUUCCAAGCGGCACUUACCAGGAUAAGUAAAGAAUGUCACUUAUCUGGCAGGCACAAGGAACCUCGAAAUAUUUUGGGGGAACCUCGGAAGAGAGGAAUUCAUCCAAAUCUGUAGAAAUGCUUCUUAUUAAAUACUUGAUUGCUUGCUUCCGCAAUAUAGGCGUAACCUUGAGAGCCCACCUGCAUCACCAUCUUCCAAAAGGAACUUAAGUGAACUGAUCUAUUAUCAGGACUAAGAAAUGUGUUCAGUGAGAUGAAACAAUCUACCAACUCAGCUUCUGGACUAUGAAACUUCUUUAAGUUUCAAAAGGACUGUGAAACUUUUAGUUUCAAAGGCGGGACUGUGGGAGAUCAAGAUUUGGCCAUCCUAAAAUAUAUCUCUUUACCUUUAUUGUUUUCUCUGAGGGACAUUUGACCUCCCCCACUAACUGCCUAAAGAAUUUGACAUGGUGGCUCCUUCCUGGAACAGAUCUUCUAUCAUGAUGGCUAUAAAGAUAAUGUAGGAUAGAGGUUAUAAUAGGAAAGGCACCAAGCCCCUUUUAUCAAAAACUUUGUCUCUCCCUGACCACAUUAUCUAUAGAUGAAAAGAAUUGUCCUCCUGCCCUCUGAAGUCCCAGGCCACUACCCACCCCCAACACGUUCCUCGCCUUUAGCUGCAAUACUUAAGCAAGCAGGUUAGACAGAGGGGCGAGUUGCUCAUUUCUGAGUUUCUCCCAUGUAUACAUGUUAUUAAACUUGGUAUUAUUUUCUCCUG